CCCUUAGAUGUUCUGGGCUGCACGCGCGCUACACUGAUGCACUCAACGAGUUUACGACCUUGCCCGAUAGGGUUGGGUAAUCUUUUUAAAAUGCAUCGUGAUGGGGAUAGAUUAUUGCAAUUAUUAAUCUUCAACGAGGAAUUCCUAGUAAGCGCGAGUCAUCAGCUCGUGCUGAUUACGUCCCUGCCCUUUGUACACACCGCCCGUCGCUCCUACCGAUUGAGUGCUCAGGUGAAUAAUUCGGACUGCAGCAAUGUUUGGAUCCCGAACGUUGCAGUGGAAAGUUUAGUGAACCUUAUCACUUAGAGGAAGGAGAAGUUGUAACA
This 326-nucleotide ribosomal RNA is filed under the name uncultured eukaryote. RNAcentral describes it as "partial 18S ribosomal RNA". It matches the Rfam family "Eukaryotic small subunit ribosomal RNA", at positions 1470 to 1796 of the family's 1831-position model. The record is from RNAcentral.